This 612-nucleotide unclassified non-coding RNA is filed under the name Hevea brasiliensis (rubber tree). The record is from RNAcentral. Lineage: Eukaryota; Viridiplantae; Streptophyta; Magnoliopsida; Malpighiales; Euphorbiaceae.
ACACAGAUUUGGUACACAGUAAGCAUAGAGAUUACUAACAACAAAUAAGACAUUCAACAUAAGAGUCAUAUUCCCAACACAUUGAUCAUGUAUCAAAUGUCAUCGACGAAACAAAGCAAAACAAAACUUGUAUUGCUGAUAAGUUCAACAAAUAAUUUUGAUCCAAAGCAAAAAUCUCAGCCAAAGUAGAUCCUAUCCCUACACUUUGAUAGCAUAUUUCCUAAUGGGGAAGUACAUUUCCUUCUUCUUCUCUCUCUCUGUCUUCAAGGAUGACUGGUGCUUAGUCAAACGUUUACGGAUUGCUCUGGUUUUCUUGGGGCGAAGAUCAAGAGGCAAGUACUUCUUGUUCUUGUAAACUUCCCUAAGAGCUGACUUUUGCUUCUGUGAGAUGACAGUCAAAACCUGUGCAAUUGACAACCUUACCACCUUGAUUUUGGAUAGCUUGUUAGGAGCACCACCGGUGACCUUUGCAACACGGAGAAGAGCAAGCUCCGCCUUCAGAUCCUUCAACUGAGCCAAAAGGUCUGUCUUCGACUUGUUCCUCAACUCAUGAACCUUUAUUCUCGCCAUGGCUGCUGCUCCUUUGAGGUUACUGCUCAGACGGCGAUGGAG